CUAAAAACACAGCACUCUGCAAACUUGCAAAAGGAAGUAUAGAGUGUGACGCCUGCCCGGUGCUGGAAGGUUAAGUGAUGAUGUUAGUCUUUGGACGAAGCAUUUGACCGAAGCCCCAGUGAACGGCGGCCGUAACUAUAACGGUCCUAAGGUAGCGAAAUUCCUUGUCGGGUAAGUUCCGACCUGCACGAAUGGCGUAACGACUUCCCCGCUGUCUCCGGCAUCGACUCAGUGAAAUUGAAUUCCCCGUGAAGAUGCGGGGUAUCUGCGGUCAGACGGAAAGACCCCGUGAACCUUUACUAUAGCUUUGCACUGGACUUUGAAUUUGCUUGUGUAGGAUAGGUGGGAGGCUUUGAAGCGUGGACGCCAGUUCGCGUGGAGCCAACCUUGAAAUACCACCCUGGCAACUUUGAGGUUCUAACUCAGGUCCGUUAUCCGGAUCGAGGACAGUGUAUGGUGGGUAGUUUGACUGGGGCGGUCUCCUCCCAAAGAGUAACGGAGGAGCGCAAAGGUAUGCUUCGCUCGGUCGGAAAUCGAGCUGGACGUGCAAUGACAAAAGCAUGCUUGACUGCAAGAGUGACGGCUCAAGCAGGUGCGAAAGCAGGUCAUAGUGAUCCGGUGGCGCUUUAUGGAAGGGCCAUCGCUCAACGGAUAAAAGGUACGCCGGGGAUAACAGGCUAAUUCCUCCCAAGAGUCCACAUCGACGGAGGAGUUUGGCACCUCGAUGUCGGCUCAUCACAUCCUGGGGCUGUAGCAGGUCCCAAGGGUAUGGCUGUUCGCCAUUUAAAGUGGUACGUGAGCUGGGUUUAGAACGUCGUGAGACAGUUCGGUCCCUAUCUGCAGUGGGCGCUGGAAAUUUGAAGGGAUCUGCUCCUAGUACGAGAGGACCGGAGUGGACGAACCUCUGGUGUACCGGUUGUCGCGCCAGCGGCAUUGCCGGGUGGCUAUGUUCGGAAUGGAUAACCGCUGAAAGCAUCUAAGUGGGAAGCCAACCCUGAGACGAGAUUUCCCGAGGGCUUGACCCUCCUGAAGACCCCUUGAAGACGACGAGGUUGAUAGGUCGGAUGUGGAAGUGCGGCAACGCAUUAAGCUAACCGAUACUAAUUGGUCGUGCGGCUUGGUUCC
Molecule: ribosomal RNA, 1125 nt
Filed under: Halisarca caerulea
Lineage: Eukaryota; Metazoa; Porifera; Demospongiae; Chondrillida; Halisarcidae
Description: bacterial LSU rRNA
Rfam family: Bacterial large subunit ribosomal RNA
Source: RNAcentral